This is a long non-coding RNA of Astatotilapia calliptera (eastern happy), 1480 nucleotides long. NCBI's taxonomy places the organism in Eukaryota, Metazoa, Chordata, Actinopteri, Cichliformes, Cichlidae. The record is from Ensembl.
CUUUUUCUUCAGUUCCAGUUUAAGUUUCAUGAUGUUUUUUCACCCGUUUCAGAGUUUAUAAUGGGUGUGUAUGGGACGGAAUGUUGGGGCUAGAGUGAGGCAGCUCAACUGCUAGAGUGAGAGGAGCAAAAAAAAUAAUCUUAAAAUCUUUUUUAAAACUGCUGCUGUGUCCGCAGCGUUUGCUCUACAGGUAUGAUUUUACCCUCAAAACGUAGCCAUGGCUGUCCUCUUUCAUCCAAUGUGUUUACUAUUGUACUAGGUGUUAUGGUUCUUUCAUAAAUGUCACCAAUGCACAGCCUCCUCCCUCCAACUCUUCCAUAGACUCUAAUGUUAAAAUGGCUCAGAAGGUUCGUUUGAAAAUCAGAAGAGCAUGGUGUCUUUCCACUGUCACCACGUCCAUAUAAUAAGCUCCACAGGCAUGAAAACUGAGAAUUAGGUAGACUAGACAUUGCUGUCGCUCACGGUGAAAGAAUUUUGUCAAUACGACUUUUACUUUUCAUUUGGGAGCGAUUUGUUUCGGCCUGACUUUUCUGUUCAUUUUAAGCAGCAAAAGUAAGGUGCAUGUCUGUGUGCGUGUGUAUGGAGCCCUUGGGUGCGGUCACUAUAGCAACCAGGCUCACACCUGCCUGCUUAACGAGCUCUCUCUCUCACUCUGCCAAGAUUCAUCUUAAACACUUCUCUUUCAACUGCUGCUGUGUCCACAGUGUUAAAGCCAUCAUUUUACCCUCAAAACGUCGCCAUCGUUGUUCUUUUUCCAACAUCUUGUCUUUCAAAGCUCAGAGAUGUAAACUUUUUAAACUGUGUGGGUCCAAGUGGAGGGAUCACAUUUGAGUCAUUCAGUGAUUCAAAGAAUAUGACCUUUUAAUAUUCUUUCAGAUGUUUUCUGACUCUAAAUGUUCUUUUCUCAUUUCUUAGGGUUUUCUAAUUUACAUUUAAAACAUUUUCAGUUUUUUUCCAACUCCUUCUUCUGUGUAACCUUCAGCUUUUAGCAGUUCAGCACCUUUGUUUUCAGGUUAAAUUCGUUUUUUUUUUGUUUUUUUUUAAUCUCAUUCAAUAUUUUUAACUCAAAAUUCAGCAAUUAAUUCAUUUCAGUGCAUACAUUCAGAUUCAAGCAUUCACACUGCAGUUUCUUCAGAAAAUGCACUUUCUAGUUCUAUUUUAUUAUUAUGGAUUCCGUACGUUUUUUGUACUCUAUCUCCUUCAAAACCGUUCAACUUAGAAAAACCAUUCAAACACCAUUAGAUUCCUAUUCUUUUGGACAUGACUGCUUCUAUUUUUCUCAUUUUUAACAUUUAUAUUUUUAAUUUUAUUCAACUUUUUUCAACAAAAAUUUCCCAUGUAUUUCAAUGGGGAGACCCUUCAAAUUCUCAUUCAACUUCCUCCUCUUUAAACUGUAUCUACUUCCACAUACAUUGACAUAGAGCCACCAUUCAAACUUUAAAACGAAGACAAGACAUUCAACUAUUCAACUUGUAUUUAU